GUUUGGUGGUGGGAUCUAAUGGUUGUAUUACCUGGAUAAAAGGGCCAUUGUGGCUUUCCUCAGCACAGCAGCUACAUAUCAGGAUAGUGUUUGGUUUACUACUGGGAUUUUGUCCUUUAGAAGCAAGGAAGAAACCAUGUGAAGAGAAAAGAGGAAAAGAGGCCGACUUCAUCCGUUGCUACCAUAAAGCUGUCUCUGACCCUUCAAACACUUUUUUAAACAUGUUCUUGUUGUCUUUUGUAACAAGGAUCUCACGUUUGUACUUUGUCACACUGUCCUACCUGAGCUUACUGAUGAGUAAACUGACAUAUAGGAAUUUCAAAUUCUCAGAUAAGCCUAGACUGUAUAUUGCAUAGGCUUUUGCUUGUCUCUCUGUGUAAGGUUAUUUUUUUUCUUUUCAUACAAUAUAUGGAAGUUUGCAAAAAAAAAAAAAAAAAAAAAAAGCAAAAAUCUGUUAAAACCUUCCAUAUUUUAUGAUGAAGAGUCACAAAAGUAUACGUACCUCUCAUGUAACAAGCAGCAUAUUCUCUUGAACGUGAUCUUUACCACUGACUUGGUGGAAGAGGGGCUGGGCCUGAUGUUGAUUUAUUUUUUUUUUCCCAGAACCCCAUAUGUUUUUGAACUAUUAUGCAACAGACCUUUUGACGUUUCUCUUUUAGCUUGCUUAACAGUUUGCUGAGAGUGCCAAGAAAUUAUUUUCACCUUUCAUAACCACUUUUUUAUUAUUAUUAUUAUUCCUCUAAACACAUUUGUUUCAUAUUUCUAAUCUAUGUCGUCUUGCAAGGCGAGAGGCUCUUGUAUGGUCACUGAGUAGCACGAGAGAAGAGGAACCAAAUUGUCUGAGGGCUGUAGCUAUCAAGGCUUGCCCCUUCCUUAACUCCUGCAUAUAAAACCAGUGAUCCUACUGCAGGUUAGGAAAGAGUGAGAUUCUCUUUAUGAACUAAGCAUGCAUAUAUGGUAUAUACCAAUGCCACUCACAGCAGUUCGGAAGCAACUGCCUUUCUUAACAAGAAAUGGUUAAAAAAUCCACAGCUGCUUUUGUAAUUUUUGUUGUGCUAUAUACUUGGAAGCUUGUUCAUUGUUAUCAAAGGCAAGGUGUUAAUUCAAAGAGACUUAUUGUAAUUGUAUGACCUAAUUAGAAUCGAGCCUCUGAUCAUACAUAUUUCAUGAAUAAAUGAAAUGACUUCGUACAUUCUUUUCUUCA
Non-coding RNA from Anas platyrhynchos (mallard), 1204 nucleotides. Lineage: Eukaryota; Metazoa; Chordata; Aves; Anseriformes; Anatidae. The record is from RefSeq and is a predicted model, not a curated record.